GAUAUUAAACAACAGAAAAAGGAAAGCAAAUACUGUCUGCAAUUUUCACACUUAAGACAUGAUUAAUAGCUUAAUCACUGGCCAACUGUUGGGCUGUAGAUGGUUGUUUAUUCCUCUUCCUGAGAACACAUUGGAAGACUCUGCAAGUGUGCUGGUUUGGACAGCUUACUUUUUUAAUGAGUACCAAAUGCAUCCCUGUAUCCUGAUGAUGCUGAGCAGCUUCCUUUAA
RNAcentral lists this long non-coding RNA (229 nucleotides) under Numida meleagris (helmeted guineafowl). RNAcentral describes it as "lncRNA (ENSNMEG00000002403.1)". Lineage: Eukaryota; Metazoa; Chordata; Aves; Galliformes; Numididae. The record is from RNAcentral.